GCGGAAGGAUCAUUAUCCAUCUCAACCAGGAGUGGUGGCGGCCAGGCAUUGCGUCCUCGGUUCAGCCCCGCUUUCCUGCAUCCUUUUUUUACGAGCACCUUUCGUUCUCCUUCGGCGGGGCAACCUGCCGCUGGAACUUAACAAAACCUUUUUUUGCAUCUAGCAUUACCUGUUCUGAUACAAACAAUCGUUACAACUUUCAACAACGGAUCUCUUGGUUCUGGCAUCGAUGAAGAACGCAGCGAAAUGCGAUACGUAAUGUGAAUUGCAGAAUUCAGUGAAUCAUCGAAUCUUUGAACGCACAUUGCGCCCCUUGGUAUUCCGAGGGGCAUGCCUGUUCGAGCGUCAUUUCACCAAUCAAGCCCCGCUUGGUAUUGGAGGCAGGCCCCGGCUCCGGCCAGGGCCCCCCCGAAAUGCAUCGGCGAGGACACCGAC
This 435-nucleotide unclassified non-coding RNA is filed under the name uncultured Coniothyrium. RNAcentral describes it as "sequence contains ITS1, 5.8S rRNA gene, ITS2". The stretch from base 195 to 348 matches the Rfam family "5.8S ribosomal RNA". The record is from RNAcentral. Lineage: Eukaryota; Fungi; Ascomycota; Dothideomycetes; Pleosporales; Leptosphaeriaceae.